RNAcentral lists this ribosomal RNA (460 nucleotides) under uncultured bacterium. RNAcentral's name for it is "partial 16S ribosomal RNA". It matches the Rfam family "Bacterial small subunit ribosomal RNA", at positions 338 to 795 of the family's 1533-position model. The record is from RNAcentral.
CCUACGGGAGGCAGCAGUGAGGAAUAUUGGUCAAUGGACGAGAGUCUGAACCAGCCAAGUAGCGUGAAGGAUGACUGCUCUAUGGGUUGUAAACUUCUUUUAUAUGGGAAUAAAAUGUUCCACGUGUGGGAUUUUGUAUGUACCAUAUGAAUAAGGAUCGGCUAACUCCGUGCCAGCAGCCGCGGUAAUACGGAGGAUCCGAGCGUUAUCCGGAUUUAUUGGGUUUAAAGGGAGCGUAGGUGGAUGGUUAAGUCAGUUGUGAAAGUUUGCGGCUCAACCGUAAAAUUGCAGUUGAAACUGGCAGUCUUGAGUACGGUAGAGGUGGGCGGAAUUCGUGGUGUAGCGGUGAAAUGCUUAGAGAUCACGAAGAACUCCGAUUGCGAAGGCAGUUCACUGGACUGCAACUGACACUGAGGCUCGAAAGUGUGGGUAUCAAACAGGAUUAGAUACCCUUGUAGUC